CACGCCCUAAACUAUGCCAACUAGGUGUUGGGUGGGUAAAACCAUUUAGUACCGUAGCUAACGCGUGAAGUUGACCGCCUGGGGAGUACGGCCGCAAGGUUAAAACUCAAAGGAAUUGACGGGGACCCGCACAAGCGGUGGAUGAUGUGGAUUAAUUCGAUGCAACGCGAAAAACCUUACCUACCCUUGACAUGCCAGGAACUUGCCAGAGAUGGCUUGGUGCCCGAAAGGGAGCCUGGACACAGGUGCUGCAUGGCUGUCGUCAGCUCGUGUCGUGAGAUGUUGGGUUAAGUCCCGCAACGAGCGCAACCCUUGUCGUUAAUUGCCAUCAUUUGGUUGGGCACUUUAACGAGACUGCCGGUGACAAACCG
RNAcentral lists this ribosomal RNA (371 nucleotides) under uncultured bacterium. RNAcentral's name for it is "bacterial SSU rRNA". It matches the Rfam family "Bacterial small subunit ribosomal RNA", at positions 796 to 1165 of the family's 1533-position model. The record is from RNAcentral.